Pelobates cultripes (western spadefoot toad) is the source of this 207-nucleotide non-coding RNA. The record is from the annotation of a GenBank genome assembly. Lineage: Eukaryota; Metazoa; Chordata; Amphibia; Anura; Pelobatidae.
CCCAGCCACUCAGUGCAAUAUAUCUGCCCUUUGCCUCUUUGUGCCAUCUCUCUGCCCUGUGCCAUCUCUCUGCGACCAGUAUCACUGUGCCAUCUCUCUGCCACCAGCCUCUCUGUGCCAUGUCUCUGCAUUUAGCCUCUUUGUGCCAUUUAUCUGCCUCCAGUGAGGGCGACAGAGUAUGUGUGGGAGGGUGACAGUUUGUGGGAG